RNAcentral lists this long non-coding RNA (517 nucleotides) under Homo sapiens (human). RNAcentral's name for it is "HSALNT0327072". Lineage: Eukaryota; Metazoa; Chordata; Mammalia; Primates; Hominidae. The record is from RNAcentral.
CAUUUGCUCUGUCAUCUCAGGACUAGAAGCCAUCAGCCAGCGUACGCCCUCAGAAAACUCUCUUCCCUUCUCGCGGGUCCGCCUGGCUCCCGGAGGCGGCGGUGCCAGGCUGCCGGAGUUAGCCAGCGGCAGGCUGCGGGCGCCCGUCCCUCCGGUUCACCCUUUCACCCCUCCUUCACCCCCGGAGCGCCAGGCGGGUGCCGCGGGUUUUCCGCCCACUCGGAAGGCAGUGCUGGCGAGACCAGGAAUUGCAGGGCCUCUCCGCUUUGGCGAGCUCUGGAAUCCGAGUCCUCCCCACCCCAGCCACUCUGCUGGGGCGCUAGGGGCUCGAAAAAGCCUGGGGUUGGCUGAAAGACACUCGGAUUAGAGACGCAGCCAGCCUCCAGGGAGGUCUGAACUUGUCUUCGACCUCCCCGAACCCCUCCGCCUCUGCGCUGGGAGACGCCCAGCAGCCGGGCGGGCCCGGGACGUGUAGAGCCAGAGCACUCCGCAGCGGAGGCAGCGCGCGGCACGGCCG